Long non-coding RNA from Bombus impatiens (common eastern bumble bee), 1138 nucleotides. RefSeq lists it as uncharacterized. NCBI's taxonomy places the organism in Eukaryota, Metazoa, Arthropoda, Insecta, Hymenoptera, Apidae. The record is from RefSeq and is a predicted model, not a curated record. The transcript is spliced from 3 exons.
CAAUAUUAUUCAAUGUAAUUAAUUAAAUUUAAUUUAAGGAAUGUCACUGCAGCCCUAUAAAUAAAUAACUACCAGGCAUAUCACCCUGGUCACAUUGGCUCAGUCAGGAAGCUUUGCUAUGGAGUAUGGGAGUUGGUGGUGCUUUAUGCGUCCCCGGUAUGGGCCAAAGUGCUGUUGACCAAGAGGAAUAGAAACAUCUUGAAGAGGGCACAAAGGGCCGCACUUAUAAGAUCGUCUAUGGCCUACAGAACUGUGUCGCGUGCAGCGCUGUGCAUACUGACGGGUCUAGAGCAGAAAUUACUGAAAAUUUUAUGGAAAGGAUGGGGGACGACAGGUAGAGGGAUAAAUGGAGUGUGUACGGAGAAGAUAAUUGGACGAAGAAGUUAGUAAAUGACGCUUGUACGUUAAAGAAAUACAAAAGACAUAUUGAACGAUGCAACUGUUGACUGGACACCUACGAGUGUAUCGCAGGAUGAUCAGCAAAGAGGUUCACUCCAGAUACUGGGAUUGCGUCACGGAAGUAGACGACGCGGAGCAUGCGUUGUUUCACUGCCCUAGGUGGGUCCUCGAUAGGACCGAACUGGAGAGCUAUGUUGGCACGACAUUGACGAGGAGAAAUGUUAUUGAGGAGGUAAUUAAGAAAGAGGACAACUAGAAUAAAUUCCAGGCACUGUGCAGAAGAAUUAUGAAGGCGAGACAGAAACAGGAGAUGGAUGUAUAAAGGAGAAGAAGAAUAGGAACUUACAGAGAUAGUAAUGGAUAAGAUGUAGCGAAGGAAGCGUGGAAGUUAGGGCCAACCCUGAAGUAAUGCCUAAAGGCAGUUCCGGGGUUGGUACCUGUACUACAAGAAGAGCAGUUAGAGGAGAGGUUUUUAGUCGGUAUGGCAACCAUCUGCUGAGUCCCACUUAAUCCAAUGACGCGGGUCACUGGGUAUGCGUAAUUUGCAUUUUUCCCUCCUCGCGAAAAAAGGCAUAUAACCCUGGUAAGGUACUGCAUGCUUAGCCCUGUCAGUGAUAAAGAAAUUUAUCCUCUUUCCCCUUGACAAGCGUCACCGCUAUCACCGCCUUGCUCUGAUGCUGAUCAAAGCCUCCUUGAUGAAGGGGCACUUUCCAUACGGAAAGUUCCCCUUUCCUACGGA